AUUGAACGCUGGCGGCAUGCCUUACACAUGCAAGUCGAACGGUAACAGGUUAAGCUGACGAGUGGCGAACGGGUGAGUAAUACAUCGGAACGUGCCCAGUAGUGGGGGAUAGCCCGGCGAAAGCCGGAUUAAUACCGCAUACGACCUAAGGGUGAAAGGGGGGGAUCGCAAGACCUCUCGCUAUUGGAGCGGCCGAUGUCAGAUUAGCUAGUUGGUGGGGUAAAAGCUCACCAAGGCGACGAUCUGUAGCUGGUCUGAGAGGACGACACGCCACACUGGGACUGAGACACGGCCCAGACUCCUACGGGAGGCAGCAGUGGGGAAUUUUGGACAAUGGGCGCAAGCCUGAUCCAGCCAUGCCGCGUGCGGGAAGAAGGCCUUCGGGUUGUAAACCGCUUUUGUCAGGGAAGAAAUCCUUUGGGUUAAUACCUCGGGGGGAUGACGGUACCUGAAGAAUAAGCACCGGCUAACUACGUG
RNAcentral lists this ribosomal RNA (477 nucleotides) under uncultured bacterium. Its description in RNAcentral is "partial 16S ribosomal RNA". It matches the Rfam family "Bacterial small subunit ribosomal RNA", at positions 30 to 507 of the family's 1533-position model. The record is from RNAcentral.